UCGGGAAUUUUGGGCAAUGGGCGAAAGCCUGACCCAGCAACGCCGCGUGAAGGAUGAAGUAUUUCGGUAUGUAAACUUCGUAAGAAUAGGAAGAAUAAAUGACGGUACUAUUUGUAAGGUCCGGCUAACUACGUGCCAGCAGCCGCGGUAAUACGUAGGGACCAAGCGUUGUUCGGAUUUACUGGGCGUAAAGGGCGCGUAGGCGGUGUGUCAAGUCAGUUGUGAAAUCUCCGAGCUUAACUCGGAACGGUCAACUGAUACUGUCACACUAGAGUACAGAAGGGGCAAUCGGAAUUCUUGGUGUAGCGGUGAAAUGCGUAGAUAUCAAGAGGAACACCUGAGGCGAAGGCGGGUUGCUGGGCUGAUACUGACGCUGAGGUGCGAAAGCGUGGGGAGCAAACAGGAUUAGAUACCCCCGUAGUCCCUGAGCGGGCUGGCAAGGCGCAU
RNAcentral lists this ribosomal RNA (447 nucleotides) under uncultured bacterium. RNAcentral describes it as "bacterial SSU rRNA". It matches the Rfam family "Bacterial small subunit ribosomal RNA", at positions 355 to 825 of the family's 1533-position model. The record is from RNAcentral.